GCUUCUUCCUACUUUCACUUUUUCAAAACUGGCUCUUCUUUUUACUUUUUAUUCUUGGCCAAAUGCUGCAGAAAAAACGCUCUUUGAAAGGCUCCUGGGAGAUCUUAGGCAGCCGGUAGAACUAGAGGCUCAACCGAGAAUAAUUGAAAACACAGGUCCUGAGGAUUCCUGCAGCCCCCACAGGGUGAGGGGAGGGACCAGCCCUUUUUGCUCUGCUCUCCCCCUUUCUGUUCCCACUAUUCUAUUGGUAGCAAUGUCCUCCACUGAGGAUGUCUUCACAGGGCCCCCAGGUCUGAGGGGUCAUACUUCAGAGGCCUCUGACUGCGUGGGGGCCAGCCGCAGCCCUGCUGAGGGUGAGAAGCAGGUCCGCCUCCUCAGGACUGACUCAGAAGUUCUGAGAGCCUGGCUCAUUUUUGCAUACCAGCAUCUAGCACAGAAUCUGGCACAUGGUCAGCACUGAAUAAAUAUUAUCAAUGAAUGAAGACAUGAAUGAACAAAUGAAUGACUUCUACUGGGAAAAAGGGUGCUUGCUGGGAAGACAAUAUAUGAGCUUGAAGUCCUGGUGCCAUAAAUCUAUUGAAGCAGAACGCUGGAAGCAGAAUGUGGGCUGUGCUCCAAGGAGCUGUGCCACCAACCCCCUAUGUAAACCCUCCUACUCACCCGGGGACAGGGACCCCAGAAUGGGGUGUGCAGCCCUGGGGUGGGCAAACACAGGGACGUGCUCUUGAUGACGACUGCCCAGGGAUGGGACGAACGGAGGGCAUCCAUGUCCUUGGCCCUACGGGGUGGAAGAGAACAGAAGGCAAGAUAACCCACUUCAAAAGCGGCUCCUUUCAAAGCAGUUGUGGCUGUGUACUGGGGGCUGCUUUAAAUGGGUCAGCCUUCAUAUGUGCUUGGGUCUCCAACUUGUCGAAACUUGGCUGUUAAACAUCUCUAUUUUGUUUUCAUUAGCUUGUAAGCCAUGGCGAUGGGGGACCUGCCUAGUUUUCUGAACCAGCAUGUGUGCCCAGAGUCUAAUAAACAGCAGGUGCCUCCAAUAAA
Long non-coding RNA from Trichechus manatus latirostris (Florida manatee), 1041 nucleotides. RefSeq lists it as uncharacterized. Lineage: Eukaryota; Metazoa; Chordata; Mammalia; Sirenia; Trichechidae. The record is from RefSeq and is a predicted model, not a curated record. The transcript has 3 exons.